AACGAACGCUGGCGGCAUGCCUAACACAUGCAAGUCGAACGAGACCUUCGGGUCUAGUGGCGCACGGGUGCGUAACGCGUGGGAACCUGCCCUUAGGUUCGGAAUAACUCCCCGAAAGGGGUGCUAACACCGGAUAAUGUCUUCGGACCAAAGAUUUAUCGCCUUUGGAUGGGCCCGCGUUGGAUUAGCUAGUUGGUAGGGUAAAAGCCUACCAAGGCGACGAUCCAUAGCUGGUCUGAGAGGAUGAUCAGCCACACUGGGACUGAGACACGGCCCAGACUCCUACGGGAGGCAGCAGUGGGGAAUAUUGGACAAUGGGCGAAAGCCUGAUCCAGCAAUGCCGGGUGAGUGAUGAAGGCCUUAGGGUUGUAAAGCUCUUUUACCCGGGAUGAUAAUGACAGUACCGGGAGAAUAAGCUCCGGCUAACUCCGUG
Molecule: ribosomal RNA, 433 nt
Filed under: uncultured bacterium
Lineage: Bacteria
Description: partial 16S ribosomal RNA
Rfam family: Bacterial small subunit ribosomal RNA
Source: RNAcentral